GUUCUCUGUCGGCGGACGAGGCGGAGGGCAGCUGAGGGCUGCCCGCUUGCAAUUGUCCGCUUUCUCCAACUUCAGACGCGUUAAUUCGUUGGGGAUUGUGCUUCUCAAAGCCGGCCUCAGCGGGGCUACUGCUGAGCACCUGCGCUAGAGGCCGCCUGCGCGCGUGAGUGGAGGGGCGAUGGCCGCUCCGGUGCGGGUGCCCCCCAAGCCCCCGCGUUCCGUACGCCUUCGCGUGGGCGGUGGUAGUUGUGUAAAGCCCAGGCAUGUGGCCGUGAGCUGGUUAGCAGCAGAGAAGCUUGAGUGAGAAGAUGACCCGGUUUUCAAGCCUCUCCCAGGUAAGAGAGGCCUGCGGCAGUAAUGUCAGUGUUGAAGAGGAGGCCGAUGGUGUUUAAAGGACAAAUUUGCCUCAGUGUGGAUUCUGAUCGACCCAGCCCCCUACAAGCCUACGUUCUGUUCUGUGCUCCCAUGCUUUUCUGUGACUUUCUCACCAGGAUUAAGAUGUUGAGAAGGGGCUUUGGGCAUGCAGUCCUGUCAGAUGCUGCGCUUUCCCAACACGCAUUCCUCUCUUAGGCAAUCCCACAUGCUGACCGGAAAAAGAAGUGCCUACCACAGCUAUGACCGACUGUGAAACCUGCCAAAGUGAAUGCCUCCCACUGAGGAAGCCACUCAGACUCCAACUAAAAAUUAAAAUGGCUGUAAGGAAGGAAAAGGGAAGACUGUUUUUCCUCAUGAACUCUUCCCCCCCUCAGGAUACUCCUGGUAGAAGCAAGGCAAACUGAAUUAAAAACUUUCAUACCUAGGGACAAGAAAAGGUUGUAGGAAUAAUACUGUUACUUGCACUGGUUUUUACCUUAUUAGAGACAUUUAACUUCUGUAGCAAAUUUUUUUUUGUACCCCUUUAGUUUAGAAAUUUAAAGGAUUGAUAUUAGUUUUAGAAAUAGUUGUCCUUUAUAAUAACUAUCACACAUACCUGAGGAUUUUUUUUAAACAUAUCUUUUUAAUCAAGAUUUUACUAUCAUCUUCUUUACGUAUGCUUGGGGAAAACUGUUUAAAGUGGUUCUUCCAGUGCAGUGUCCAAUUCUGAAAACGCUACUUUUUAAAGCCACUGUGAAGUAAGAUCAGCAACUGUCAACAUACAACAUUCCCUGUCCUCUCAUAUUAGCCAGUUAGUUUCAAUUAGGUGAGGUCAGCACUCCUGUGGAUAUACUGACUAAUCUCUAAGCCCAGAGCAACUUCUGUUGUUUCUUUCACCCAGCCCUUCAGGGGGGGUUCCGGGGAGCCUGAACCAACAGGCACACGCUCAGACAUCGGGUCUGUUACUCAGUGCCACCUGCGAGUCCACGGACUCCUCUAUUUGUCAGCUUAGGUGAGUCCUGACAGGGUGAUUUGCUUAAGAUUUGUUCUUAUUUUCCACAUUCUAUUUUGCAGUCUCUGUUCUUGCAGCUUUUAAGCAAAACAAAAUUUUCAAUCCCAUUUGUAAAUAACUAUCAGUAGUGCCGAGUGACAACUGCAAUGUACCUGGAAGUGCUUGUAUAUGCUAACCCUGUACUGUAUCUUCAAGGUCUUGCACUGGUUACAGUCUUCUUUCUUAAGGUACAAAAUGGGGGUGUUCUCAAGUUGUCAAAAUAACCUUGUGGUCUGAUUUGAAAUACUUGUAAUGUUCUAUCAUGUUCUGUCACAAUUACAGAGUAUUCCAUUUCAUGACACAGUACAUAAUAAAAAUCACUGUUGCUACAAUAUGCUGUGCAUUUAACAACAAAGAAAACGGAUUAGAGAGAUACAUUUUUGGAUCACUUGCUGGGGGAAGGCCUUUCUUUGUACAGUGCUAUCAAAAGGUACGAGUCUCUUGCUGAAUCUCGCAGUAUUAUCCAGUACAGAAGUUAAAUAUAAGUACUGGGUAAUAAGAGAGGCUGGAACAUUAAUUUUAAAAAUUCAACUUUUGACUAAACACCAACACUCUGUACUAAUGAAUUAGUACGCUAAGAAUUUUUAAAUUUCCUGUGCUUAAUAAAGCCAUGAUGGACAAAUGAUACCGACUAGAUAUCUGAAUAUUUUAUGAGAGAUCCAAGACAAGCAUUAGAAUAAGUAAAUGCUCAUUAUUUGUCUUCUCAGACUUUGAACUGACUUUUCAGUUAAACUUUUUAGGCUUUUCUUCUGCUUUUGUUUUAGGCUGUCGUAACAAACAGGUGCACUACAGUCAUUAGUUAUAAUAAAAAAAAGGAAAAAAAUCUCUGUAUUUUUUUCAGCAAGUAUCUGGACCAGAAAUUUGAGAUCAGGCAUGAAGCAUGUGGUCAAGAUAAGUAUUUAAAUUAAAUAGACUUUUUUUAAUACAUACAUUUUACGAUCUGUAGACCCAGAACUACUCAGUUAUCCAGUAAGUAGAUUCGAGGAAAACUAUUAUUUGUUCUCAAGGCAAUUCAGAAAAAGAGGAAAGAGCAGAUUAAACUGAGACAAAUAAACCCACUGCUGAACAAGAAAACUGAGACAAUACAAUUAAUGGAAUUCAACCUACACAUUUUCCAAUCCUUUUCACUUGUUACUACCUUAUGGCAAAGUACUUUGUUCAGGCCAAAGAUUAUAUAGGCUUUAUAAAAGAGCCCAUACAAAGACAGAGUGGAUCUGGAAAAACAACAGCAGUAACUUUUAUAGCAUCCAGUACUUCAACUAGUCAAUCAAACCAAAGUGCAAAAUGCAGCUAUCAGCUGGAAUACAAAAAGGAUCAGAAUGUAUAGAAGCAGUGAUGUGGUUAUUAAAGCAGAGGUACAUCUGGCACAUGUUGCAUAUAACACCAUUCACCACAGUAAGAAGUCUUCAGAUAUCACACGGCUCAAGUCGUCACCACCUACAUUUUUACCAUUUAAAAAGCGUUGGGAGUCAAGCAACAUCAGAAAUGCUGAUACCGAACAUUCAGCUUUUCACAACCGUACGAGUAAACAUCCUUGAAGCUCUGACUCAAUCAUACAGCCCAGGCUCCAGGUAGGCAUUACUACACAGGAGAGCAGCAUUUUCUUGAACUGCUGGGGCCAGACCUGUUUAUCUUAGCUGAAGCCACAGUACAGAUGAAGAGCUGUAUCAAGAACUUGAUGAUGGUAUAAAAGUCUGAAGGACUAGGACGUACCAUUCUGUGAAGAGGGAAGUUGAAAAGGUGAGAGCAGGAAAGUGGCAGCCAUCUGCCUUUUAAAAUAAAAGGGAAAAAAGUAUUUAAAGUGCUAGAGAAAUACAGAAGUGCACGCAUGGUAAAAAAGGAAGACAGGAAGAAAGAAAGCAGACGUGGCAGGCCAGAGUGUUGCUCACCCUCCUUGAAGAAGUAUUUGAUAAAAAGGGAACUGGAGAACUGUGUUAGCAGUAUUAUGAAGUUUUGCAGAUAAUUUGUAAAAUAUACCACCUGACACACUCCUCAUGAUAUCAGAAGGACUGUAUGAUGCACCAUGGAUUCACAACCCUGCCACAACAGUACUGGAAAAUAAGGAGGUUCCAAGUGAUUACUUACCGUUUGUGUCUAGAUGCGGGCAGUACAGCCUUGAAUUUUUACCUGUUCAAGUGGAAAGACUUUUCUCCAACUUAAAGACAUUUUAAUUACCACAAGACUCACAGUGAUAUGCAGAAACUCUUACAACCGUUAGCUAGCAUUUCUAAUUCUUACUGCUAAAGUUUCUUGUAAUUCCCUUUUCCUACGUUGCCAGAUUAUGUACUUAUACCACUAUACUGGAAAUGAUGUUCGGUAGAUAAAAAGAACAUUUAUUUUUCAUGUAAAGUCUCAAUGAUAAUUUAAAUCCUAUUUUUGAUAUGAAGGCAUUCAAAUAUCACAUAUUCUACAAUUAGCAAAGCCGUGAAUGUGGGUAAGUUAGGCUUGAUGUGGAUUUUGAAUCUUAACUUUAAGAUUGCAAAAUUAUAGUUCAUGCAUCUAUACGUGAGGCAUAGCUGAGAAGACAAGACAGUAGAAGUCUCAUUCUCAGAAACUCAGAGACAACUGAAAUUUUUAUUUUUGAAUGCUCGGUAACUAGCUUAGGAGUCAAUUCUGCAUAUCUGUUGAAGAUGUCAACAACAGGAACAGUCAAAAUUAGAAAUAUGCCAUCUUGAAAUGAAGUAACAAACAUUGGCAAGUAUUUAGAUCUUGUAUAAAACACCACACCCUAUUAAAAUAAAUUACAAACUACACAUACAUAUUGCGUUUCUGGUGACCGUAUUUUCUUUUUCCUACAAAGCAGCUGAAGAGAUGUUAGUAACAUCCCAAAUGAAAAAUAUCUGACUUUGCAUGGCAUUCUCUAUAUCCAGUCAAAAAAAUAAUAACUGAUGUAUCUGGAAAAGGUUUAAAUGGAUUAUUUUACACUACUUAUGGUAAAAUAAUCUUUCUUGGAAAGAACAGACAUCUGGAAUCUGUCCAUUAUAAGCAGCUACUCUGAUCUGCAUUUGGUCUAACGUACACUACUUAAGCAGGUAUAUUCUAAAAAUUCAAUAUUCUGCA
Long non-coding RNA from Tyto alba (common barn owl), 4465 nucleotides. RefSeq lists it as uncharacterized. The transcript is spliced from 4 exons. The record is from RefSeq and is a predicted model, not a curated record. NCBI's taxonomy places the organism in Eukaryota, Metazoa, Chordata, Aves, Strigiformes, Tytonidae.